Molecule: ribosomal RNA, 407 nt
Filed under: uncultured bacterium
Lineage: Bacteria
Description: partial 16S ribosomal RNA
Rfam family: Bacterial small subunit ribosomal RNA
Source: RNAcentral
AUUGAACGCUGGCGGCAGGCCUAACACAUGCAAGUCGAGCGGAGCGGCGGACGGGUGAGUAAUGCCUAGGAAUCUGCCUGGUAGUGGGGGAUAAGGUCCGGAACCGGGGGCUAAUACGGCAUCCUACCAGAUGAGCCUAGGUCGGAUUAGCUAGUUGGUGGGGUAAAGGCCUACCAAGGCGACGACCCGUAACUGGUAUGAGAGGAUGAUCAGUCACACUGGAACUGAGACACGGUCCAGACUCCUACGGGAGGCAGAAGUGGGAAAUAUUGGACAAUGGGCGAAAGCCUGAGCCAGCCAUGCCGCGUGUGUGAAGAAGGUCUUCGGAUUGUAAAGCACUUUAAGUUGGGAGGCGUUACCAACAGAAUAAGCACCGGCUAACUUCGUGCCAGCAGCCGCGGUAAUAC